RNAcentral lists this long non-coding RNA (1609 nucleotides) under Oryctolagus cuniculus (rabbit). RNAcentral's name for it is "lncRNA (ENSOCUG00000036625.1)". The record is from RNAcentral. Lineage: Eukaryota; Metazoa; Chordata; Mammalia; Lagomorpha; Leporidae.
AUGGGGGUUCGGGUUUGGUGCACGGCGGCAGGGCACCGCCCCGAACCCGAACUGCAGAGACGCAGCGAGCGUCCAACCCGGCUGGGUCUGGCCCCAAGGGGUCCCCCGCGGCCCGCCUCCCGUCCCCGCCUCCUGCCGUCGGGCCUGGGUGCUGCAGGCCAGCGGUCCUCCCGGACGCCCCGCCACGCCGCCGCCCCCCGAGCCCCGAGCAGCCGAGGCCAGGAGCCAGCUCCAGGAUCUCAUUCCACCGCUGCACCCCAAGGCGAGGAAGCCCGUGGCGGAGAGGACCACCCACCCAAUCUCAGAGGGGCCUUGGGAAGCGCUGUGUGUGGCAAUAGGACCAAGAGGGCUUGCUGUAGGCCUCUCCCUGCUGGACCCAAACCCAGGAAACAUAGCUGGCCUGGGGGCCAUCACAUCUCCUGGGUGAGACAGCAGCUGUGGAAAGAAGAGGAGGGAGGCAAGCCGGCGGGAUUUGCUUGGGGGCCUUGGGGUUUGAUUUUUGCUUUUUCUCUAAUUCCCACUGAAAGGAACACUUGGCCCCCACUGCAGAAGGAGUGCCCCAGAGGAGCUGCACGUGCUUCCAGCCUUUUCAAAGUGGUAUUUGUUUGAUUGAAAGGCAAGUGACAGAGAGAGAGAGAGAGAGAGAGAGAGAGAGAUCUUCCAUUGGCUGGCUCACUCCCCAGAUGGCCGUAACAGCCAGGGCUGGGCCAGGCCAAAGCCAGGAGCCAGGAACUCCAUCUGGGUCUCCCAUGGGUGUCAGGGACCCAAGGACUUGGGCCUGCUUCCAGUGCCCCUGAGGCCUGUUACAGGGAGCUGGACCAGAAGCGGUGUUGGGACCAAAUUCCAGGUUCCUGGGAUGCAGGUGACCCAGCGACACCUGCCCCUUCAGUCUCUGCUUUCCGGUGUGUGUGCUGUUUCAACCAAAGCUGUAAGCGCUUCGUGUAGACCUUGUCCUCCCCACGGUGGCCGGCUGCCUGCGUACCAGCCUGGGGCCAUCCCUACACUUCUCAUGCCUACCUUGAGGACAGGUGGGCAGUUUCCAAUUUCCUGCUGUGACCAAAUGCAAAUAUCUUUAGGGUACAUUCCUCUGAGUGGCAUCUUCAGGUCAGAAUGUGCAAAUUGAAAACACUGUUGGUUCUUAUUUCACAAGCUGCAUGUUGUCCUACAUUCCAGUAAACACGGUGUGUGUGUAUACAGUAGGCGCUCAGUCCUGGCCCUGGGUGGAGUUCCAGGCCAGCUGGUACAGGGACCUGAAUGUGGAGGCCCUUGCUUUCCCAGGAAGUGAGGCAGCUGGGCUGAUCCAGGGCUGAGGGAGCCUGGAGGGUUUCCCAUGGGAGCAGAGCUGGCGUCCAUGCCGCUGGCCCGUGGGUUCCCGCUGCUCACAGGAGCCCAGGGACGGCAGAAAUGUGGACGCUUCAACACUGAUGCCCAAGGACCUGGAUGUCCAGCCCCUCUUUCUGCUCUAGGAAAGCGGCUCUUUGUCCGUCUUCUGAAGCAGCCACGGAGGGGCCGGCGUGGGGCCGGGGUCUGUGGUGGAGCAGUCGGACUGCAGAGUUGGCUGUCAUGGCCAUCACUAAAUCCAUGGCUUCAACUCUGCCUCCCUGGGCAC